This 26-nucleotide transfer RNA is filed under the name Tympanocryptis sp. AMR166771. RNAcentral's name for it is "partial tRNA-Tyr". Lineage: Eukaryota; Metazoa; Chordata; Lepidosauria; Squamata; Agamidae. The record is from RNAcentral.
UCACGGGGUGAGUUCCUCUCUUUACA